Molecule: ribosomal RNA, 252 nt
Filed under: uncultured bacterium
Lineage: Bacteria
Description: partial 16S ribosomal RNA
Rfam family: Bacterial small subunit ribosomal RNA
Source: RNAcentral
UACGUAGGCAGCGAGCGUUGUUCGGAGUUACUGGGCGUAAAGGGCUCGUAGGCGGUUCGUCACGUCGGGAGUGAAACUCAGGGCUUAACCCUGAGCUUGCAGUGGGUACGGGCAGACUAGAGUGCGGUAGGGGAGACUGGAAUUCCUGGUGUAGCGGUGAAAUGCGCAGAUAUCAGGAGGAACACCGGUGGCGAAGGCGGGUCUCUGGGCCGUAACUGACGCUCAGGCGCGACAGCGUGGGGAUCAAACAGG